AUGAACGCUGGCGGCGUGCUUAACCCAUGCAAGUCGAACGAAGCAUUUAAGACAGAUUACUUCGGUUUGAAGUCUUUUAUGACUGAGUGGCGGACGGGUGAGUAACGCGUGGGUAACCUGCCUCAUACAGGGGGAUAGCAGCUGGAAACGGCUGGUAAUACCGCAUAAGCGCACAGUACCACAUGGUACAGUGUGAAAAACUCCGGUGGUAUGAGAUGGACCCGCGUCUGAUUAGCUUGUUGGCGGGGUAACGGCCCACCAAGGCGACGAUCAGUAGCCGACCUGAGAGGGUGACCGGCCACAUUGGGACUGAGACACGGCCCAGACUCCUACGGGAGGCAGCAGUGGGGAAUAUUGCACAAUGGAGGAAACUCUGAUGCAGCGACGCCGCGUGAGUGAAGAAGUAGUUCGCUAUGUAAAGCUCUAUCAGCAGGGAAGAUAGUGACGGUACCUGACUAAGAAGCUCCGGCUAAAUACGUG
RNAcentral lists this ribosomal RNA (480 nucleotides) under uncultured bacterium. Its description in RNAcentral is "partial 16S ribosomal RNA". It matches the Rfam family "Bacterial small subunit ribosomal RNA", at positions 29 to 507 of the family's 1533-position model. The record is from RNAcentral.